GCCCCAGUGGCGGAACCGGUAGACGCAGCAGACUCAAAAUCUGCCGCUCGCAAGGGCGUGUCCGUUCGAGUCGGACCUGGGGCACCA
RNAcentral lists this transfer RNA (87 nucleotides) under Hydrogenophilaceae bacterium. RNAcentral's name for it is "tRNA-Leu". It matches the Rfam family "tRNA". Rfam says of the family: Transfer RNA (tRNA) molecules are approximately 80 nucleotides in length. Their secondary structure includes four short double-helical elements and three loops (D, anti-codon, and T loops). The record is from RNAcentral. Lineage: Bacteria; Pseudomonadati; Pseudomonadota; Hydrogenophilia; Hydrogenophilales; Hydrogenophilaceae.